Molecule: ribosomal RNA, 892 nt
Filed under: uncultured bacterium
Lineage: Bacteria
Description: bacterial SSU rRNA
Rfam family: Bacterial small subunit ribosomal RNA
Source: RNAcentral
AGGAUGAACGCUAGCUACAGGCUUAACACAUGCAAGUCGAGGGGAAACGAUAGAGAAAGCUUGCUUUUUCUAGGCGUCGACCGGCGCACGGGUGAGUAACGCGUAUCCAACCUGCCCAUCACUUGGGGAUAACCUUGCGAAAGUAAGACUAAUACCCAAUGAGGUCUCUAGAAGACAUCUGAAAGAGAUUAAAGAUUUAUCGGUGAUGGAUGGGGAUGCGUCUGAUUAGCUUGUUGGCGGGGUAACGGCCCACCAAGGCGACGAUCAGUAGGGGUUCUGAGAGGAAGGUCCCCCACAUUGGAACUGAGACACGGUCCAAACUCCUACGGGAGGCAGCAGUGAGGAAUAUUGGUCAAUGGGCGAGAGCCUGAACCAGCCAAGUAGCGUGCAGGAUGACGGCCCUAUGGGUUGUAAACUGCUUUUAUAAGGGAAUAAAGUGGGAGUCGUGACUCCUUUUGCAUGUACCUUAUGAAUAAGGACCGGCUAAUUCCGUGCCAGCAGCCGCGGUAAUACGGAAGGUCCGGGCGUUAUCCGGAUUUAUUGGGUUUAAAGGGAGCGUAGGCCGGAGAUUAAGCGUGUUGUGAAAUGUAGACGCUCAACGUCUGCACUGCAGCGCGAACUGGUUUCCUUGAGUACGCACAAAGUGGGCGGAAUUCGUGGUGUAGCGGUGAAAUGCUUAGAUAUCACGAAGAACUCCGAUUGCGAAGGCAGCUCACUGGAGCGCAACUGACGCUGAAGCUCGAAAGUGCGGGUAUCGAACAGGAUUAGAUACCCUGGUAGUCCACGCGGUAAACGAUGGAUGCUCGCUGUUUGCGUCUGACGUAAGCGGCCAAGCGAAAGCGUUAAGCAUCCCACCUGGGGAGUACGCCGGCAACGGUGAAACUCAAAGGAA